AUACGGAGGGUGCAAGCGUUAUCCGGAAUCAUUGGGUUUAAAGGGUCCGUAGGCGGGCUAAUAAGUCAGGGGUGAAAUCCCACAGCUUAACUGUGGAACUGCCCUUGAUACUGUUGGUCUUGAGUUACAGUGAAGUGGUUAGAAUGUGUAGUGUAGCGGUGAAAUGCAUAGAGAUUACACAGAAUACCGAUUGCGAAGGCAGAUCACUAACUGUAUACUGACGCUAAUGGACGAAAGCGUGGGGAGCGAACAGGAUUAGAAACCCUAGUAGUCC
This 274-nucleotide ribosomal RNA is filed under the name uncultured bacterium. RNAcentral describes it as "partial 16S ribosomal RNA". It matches the Rfam family "Bacterial small subunit ribosomal RNA", at positions 523 to 796 of the family's 1533-position model. The record is from RNAcentral.